UGGUUCUUGCAUGUAUGAAUA
This is a non-coding RNA of Caenorhabditis elegans, 21 nucleotides long. The record is from Ensembl. Lineage: Eukaryota; Metazoa; Nematoda; Chromadorea; Rhabditida; Rhabditidae.